Long non-coding RNA from Maniola jurtina (meadow brown), 939 nucleotides. RefSeq lists it as uncharacterized. Lineage: Eukaryota; Metazoa; Arthropoda; Insecta; Lepidoptera; Nymphalidae. The record is from RefSeq and is a predicted model, not a curated record. The transcript has 3 exons.
ACGAUCGGGGGGGGGGGGGGGGGGGCCAGAUUACUGUAUCACGUCAAUUUACAAUGAUCUGAUUGGUGGAACCUCCACUAUGCAUUCGAGCGCACUGUGAGACGUUACAGUAAUGAUUGUGAAUACGGCCGUGAGACCAGCGCACGCCACUGCACACAAGUGUAGUUCCGAUAUGAAUAUCGAAGAAUAAGGACUCUGGACUCAUUCACACACAAUUACACGCGACAACCUUGUAUAAACAUGUAAAUAUAUUUCUAUAUGUUCUCGUAAUAGACGAUGUUCUCAAGAUUCUAUAUUUUGGUGUUUCCCAUCAGUUACGACUUACCACUACUUGUACAUAAUUUUCUUAUUCCGAGAAUUGAUAUUUUUUUAUAAUUAAAGAUUUUUAGAAUAUUUAAACUCAUUAUCACUAGGAAUCCUGCCCUAAAUCCACCUAAUAAGUAUCUUAUAUAAUAUUAUUACAUUACAUUUCAGAAGCAUGGUAAAUUUUAAACAAAUAAUAACAUUUCAUGAAGCGAUUUGCUGUAAUACGAACUGAAAUAAUGAUCAAGAUAGAAUUCCUUUUUUAUGUUUGAUACGGUGCUAAUUAUGGUGCUAAUUUUGUUAUACAAACUCUACUAAAAAUCACAGGUCUUAAAUUUCUAUUCCUUUCAAAAUGCUUCCUGCAGAAAAAGAUAGCACUAAUCUUACUUAGAACUAACCUAAAUUUAGUUGUGCACAACAGAACUACAUAAUAUAAUGGUGUCAAUGCAACAAAAUAAUAAUUCUAUAGCAUCGAAAAUUUGGUAGACCUUAUUCCCGAUACUAUAUAAAAAUUUGAACAAUAGGUAAAUGCUUAACCAUAAAAGUUCGUAUCGCGCAAAUCGUUUAGGACGAAGCUUAACAACAAUAAUAUGUAGAAAAAACUAACACACACUGUUCCAUGCUACAUAAGAGUAG